RNAcentral lists this long non-coding RNA (476 nucleotides) under Anser cygnoides (Swan goose). Its description in RNAcentral is "lncRNA (ENSACDG00005004505.1)". The record is from RNAcentral. Lineage: Eukaryota; Metazoa; Chordata; Aves; Anseriformes; Anatidae.
AUGUCUGGAGGCCGAGACAAGGCAGAGUCAUCUGAGACAUCAAGCACACAUUUUUACAGUAGGCCUGAGAAGCUCUUGAAACAGAUUACUGGGGUAAAAUUGUCUUUUCCUUCUCAUGGUGUCUUCAGCUCAGAAGUGGAUGUCCUUUUUGGAAUAUGUGUUACUCCAAGAUAUUGCGCUGCAUACAGUGAAAACAAGAUGAAAGGCAGGCUUGCAGGUGCGAUACUACUCUAUGAUCAAUUUUACGGAUGUGAUGAAGUACCAAGGAUCAAGGAGGCAAUUGCAAAUGGCACAGAAGCCUAAACUGUGAGUAUACUUUCAGUUGUGUUGUUUUUUUGUGCCAAGCCAUUUCUGUUACUUCGAAGUUAGGAUUUUUCUUUCACUCUUCUCUGUUCUUGUUGACUAUUAAGUUGGUUUGUUUAGUUUGAAGUUCAGUUAGUAAUAAAAGCUCUGACUUUUAAUAUCCCUGUAGGACA